RNAcentral lists this ribosomal RNA (121 nucleotides) under Bipolaris zeicola 26-R-13. Lineage: Eukaryota; Fungi; Ascomycota; Dothideomycetes; Pleosporales; Pleosporaceae. The record is from RNAcentral.
ACAUGCGGCCAUAGGCAAAAAAAUCAAUCUGGGUCCCGUCUGCUUCCCGCACGAUAAAUGUUUGACCGGUGGACGAGUAGUCAGGUGGGUGAUCACUGACGAAUCCCCGCCGUCGUUUGUU